GAUGAAGAACGCAGCGAAAUGCGAUACGUAAUGUGAAUUGCAGAUUUCAGUGAAUCAUCGAAUCUUUGAACGCACAUUGCGCCCGCUAGUAUUCUGGCGGGCAUGCCUGUUCGAGCGUCAUUUCAACCAUCAAGCCCUAGGCUUGCGUUGGAGCCCUGCGGCUGCCGCAGGCUCCCAAAUCCAGUGGCGGGCUCGUCGUCGUACCGAGUGCAGUAAACAUCCUCGCUCAGGGAACGUGACGGGUUCUUGACGUGAAACCCCCCACAUAUCAAGGUUGACCUCGGAUCAGGUAGGAAUACCCGCUGAACUUAAGCAUAUCAAUAAGCGGAGGA
Molecule: unclassified non-coding RNA, 332 nt
Filed under: soil metagenome
Description: partial contains 5.8S ribosomal RNA, internal transcribed spacer 2, and large subunit ribosomal RNA
Rfam family: 5.8S ribosomal RNA (bases 1-120)
Source: RNAcentral